This 253-nucleotide ribosomal RNA is filed under the name uncultured bacterium. RNAcentral describes it as "partial 16S ribosomal RNA". It matches the Rfam family "Bacterial small subunit ribosomal RNA", at positions 524 to 776 of the family's 1533-position model. The record is from RNAcentral.
UACGGAGGAGGCAAGCGUUAUCCGGAAUUAUUGGGCGUAAAGCGUCCGUAGGUGGUUGGCCAAGUCUGCCGUCAAAGGGUGGGGGUUAACCUCAUAAAGGCAGUGGAAACUGGCGAGCUAGAGUGCGGUAGGGGUAGGGGGAAUUCCCAGUGUAGCGGUGACAUGCGUAGAGAUUGGGAAGAACAUCGGUGGCGAAAGCGCCCUGCUGGGCCUGCACUGACACUGAGGGACGAAAGCUAGGGGAGCGAAAGGG